AGAAUCAACGCUGGCGGCGUGCCUAACACAUGCAAGUCGAACGAGAAAGGGACUUCGGUCCUGAGUACAGUGGCGCACGGGUGAGUAACACGUGACUAACCUACCCUGGAGUGGGGAAUAACUGAGGGAAACCUUAGCUAAUACCGCAUAAUACCUACGGGUCAAAGGAGCAAUUCGCUUCAGGAGGGGGUCGCGGCCGAUUAGCUAGUUGGCGGGGUAAUGGCCCACCAAGGCAAUGAUCGGUAUCCGGCCUGAGAGGGCGCACGGACACACUGGAACUGAAACACGGUCCAGACUCCUACGGGAGGCAGCAGUGGGGAAUUUGCGCAAUGGGGGAAACCCUGACGCAGCAACGCCGCGUGGAGGAUGAAAUCCCUUGGGAUGUAAACUCCUUUCGAUCGGGACGAUUAUGACGGUACCGGAAGAAGAAGCCCGGCUAACUUCGCGCCAGCAGCCGC
This 458-nucleotide ribosomal RNA is filed under the name uncultured bacterium. RNAcentral describes it as "SSU rRNA". It matches the Rfam family "Bacterial small subunit ribosomal RNA", at positions 26 to 518 of the family's 1533-position model. The record is from RNAcentral.